CACCAAGUGUUUGGUCCUCGCUUCAGCAGCUGGCGACAGACGGACCUGACCCAUAUUUCCUCGUCAUAGCGAGGUCUCCCCCAGCUGAAUGUGUAAUUCUCUCACCUCCGGAUCAAGCUGCUUGCCUCCUGAUGGAGCUCCCUCCUCAAACGGAAUAUGCAUAAACACAAGGGACAUUUUGGGGAGAGAAACGGCACAGCCACAGCAAGCCGCUGAUGAGACUAUAGCCUACAGCUCACCGUCAACAAUAACACGUAUCGUGCUUCGUGGUCUGUCGUCAUUCCAUCCGGUCUGGAACGUUCCGGGGUUUACCUUUCGAGACCGUUCAUCCCCAUCGGUGUGAUAUUUGACAGGUCCCUUUGUUGGGUGGAGUCAAGUCCGCAAUUUUCUAUAUUGGAAUCAUCACUGGCAUCAUUUCAGGUCAUCAUCAUGAAGGACAGUGUGGUCAACAACAACAGCAUCUCCCACGCCAGGAAAGCUGUGGAACAGCUCAAGAUGGAGGCUUGUAUGGACAGGAUGAAAGUCUCCAAAGCAGCAGCGGAUCUGAUGGUGUAUUGCGACGCCCACAUACGUGACGACCCCCUCAUCGUGCCCGUGCCAGCCUCGGAGAACCCCUUUAGGGAGAAGAAGUUAUUCUGCACCAUCCUCUGAUGCCCAGUCGGGGGCAGACCAGCCUGGUGUCUCCUCUUCUGUCUUCACCGUACCAAGCUAACAAAACGCUGUGAAAGUAACCAGGAAGUGAAUGCCCUUUCAGCCUUGUAGUUUUUAAACUUUUGUAUUUUUUUUAAUUUUUUUUUUAUGGUCUUCAAGUACAAAAAACAUAGAUACAUUUUCUUCAUUAAAAAGAAUCUUCAUAAAAGGCAUCUUUUAGAAGUAAAUUCAA
RNAcentral lists this long non-coding RNA (883 nucleotides) under Salmo salar (Atlantic salmon). RNAcentral describes it as "lncRNA (ENSSSAG00000081860.1)". Lineage: Eukaryota; Metazoa; Chordata; Actinopteri; Salmoniformes; Salmonidae. The record is from RNAcentral.